UUUAUCCCCCUACAGGCCCCAAAAGGAUGGGACAAAAGUGAAAAGAAGGUACAAUCUAACGCUGAAGGUCUGCCAUGAGCAUAUCCAGCGAGGUUUCAAGUACAAGACACAGCUAAAAAGCACAGAAUCUGGCACUAUUAUACAUGCUUUUGGGCUCCCAUAGCCACCAGUAAAGCAUGCCAAGAAAGUUCUAUAGAUAUUAAACUCAAUAGAUAUCAUUCUCUUGCAACAAGGAUGCUCAACCACCUGAGCUUGAAGUAGGGAUGAAGUGGCAGUUAAGUAGGUCAUAAUGGUGCAACAGAAGGCUGAUUUAGAGGAAGUAAUCAGGUGUUCUACGGGUAA
Molecule: unclassified non-coding RNA, 342 nt
Filed under: Hevea brasiliensis (rubber tree)
Lineage: Eukaryota; Viridiplantae; Streptophyta; Magnoliopsida; Malpighiales; Euphorbiaceae
Source: RNAcentral